This 465-nucleotide ribosomal RNA is filed under the name uncultured bacterium. RNAcentral's name for it is "partial 16S ribosomal RNA". It matches the Rfam family "Bacterial small subunit ribosomal RNA", at positions 338 to 795 of the family's 1533-position model. The record is from RNAcentral.
CCUACGGGAGGCAGCAGUGGGGAAUAUUGCGCAAUGGGCGAAAGCCUGACGCAGCGACGCCGCGUGAGGGAUGAAGGUCUUCGGAUCGUAAACCUCUGUCAGUAGGGAAGUACGGUCACUGUGCUAAUCAGCAGUGAAUUGACGGUACCUGCAAAGGAAGCACCGGCUAACUCCGUGCCAGCAGCCGCGGUAAUACGGAGGGUGCGAGCGUUAAUCGGAAUUACUGGGCGUAAAGCGCUCGUAGGCGGUAUGUCAAGUCAAGGGUGAAAUCCCCGGGCUCAACGUGGGAACUGCCUUUGAAACUGGCAAACUGGAGUGUGUGAGAGGAUAGUGGAAUUCGAGGUGUAGGAGUGAAAUGCGUAGAUAUCUGGAGGAACAUCAGUGGCGAAGGCGACUAUCUGGCACAUAACUGACGCUGAGGAGCGAAAGCGUGGGUAGCAAACAGGAUUAGAUACCCGAGUAGUC